UUUACUCAAAUUUGUAUGGAGUUGAAAUGUUUGCCUACAUUUGCCGCUAGGAGCGCUGUGCAAACUGCAUACAAAUUCGAGUUA
RNAcentral lists this microRNA precursor (84 nucleotides) under Bombyx mori (domestic silkworm). RNAcentral's name for it is "mir-2807 microRNA precursor family". It matches the Rfam family "mir-2807 microRNA precursor family". The record is from Rfam by way of RNAcentral. Lineage: Eukaryota; Metazoa; Arthropoda; Insecta; Lepidoptera; Bombycidae.